This 202-nucleotide long non-coding RNA is filed under the name Gossypium barbadense (sea-island cotton). RNAcentral describes it as "long non-coding RNA (GBAR_LNC002417)". The record is from RNAcentral. Lineage: Eukaryota; Viridiplantae; Streptophyta; Magnoliopsida; Malvales; Malvaceae.
UAUUUAUAAAAUAACGUCAUCACAUACCCAAAACUAGGUUUGUUAACCAUACCAAUGGCUAACUCUACAUUCAUUUCACAGAAUCAUUUACUUUAUUAGCUUAUACAUGCCAUUGAUUUCCAAAAUAAAGUUUCUUUAUAUACCGAAGUCCUGAGGUUGAUAGUGUGAUGUGUCUCCUACCAAAUCCGACCUCCGAGCUCUU